Molecule: ribosomal RNA, 469 nt
Filed under: uncultured bacterium
Lineage: Bacteria
Description: bacterial SSU rRNA
Rfam family: Bacterial small subunit ribosomal RNA
Source: RNAcentral
GACGAACGCUGGCGGCGUGCCUAACACAUGCAAGUCGAGCGGAGACACUGAGGAGCUUGCUCCGAGGUGUUUUAGCGGCGGACGGGUGAGUAACGCGUGAGCAACCUUUCCUCUACUGGGGAAUAACACAUCGAAAGGUGUACUAAUACCGCAUGAGACCACAGCACUGCAUGGUGCAGGGGUCAAAGAUUUAUCGGUAGAGGGUGGGCUCGCGUCUGAUUAGAUAGUUGGUGGGGUAACGGCCUACCAAGUCGACGAUCAGUAGCCGACCUGAGAGGGUGAUCGGCCACAUUGGGACUGAGACACGGCCCAAACUCCUACGGGAGGCAGCAGUGGGGAAUAUUGGGCAAUGGGGGAAACCCUGACCCAGCAACGCCGCGUGAGGGAAGACGGUUUUCGGAUUGUAAACCUUGUCUUUGGUGACGAAGAAGUGACGGUAACCAAGGAGGAAGCCACGGCUAACUACGUG